UCCUACGGGAGGCAGCAGUAGGGAAUUUUCGGCAAUGGGCGAAAGCCUGACCGAGCAAUGCCGCGUGAAUGAAGAAAUUCUUCGGAAUGUAAAAUUCUGUGGUGAGGGAAGAAAGGUAUUAGAAGGAAAUGGCUAAUAUUUGACGGUACCUUACUAGAAAGCCCCGGCUAACUAUGUGCCAGCAGCCGCGGUAAUACAUAGGGGGCAAGCGUUAUCCGGAAUUAUUGGGCGUAAAGCGUGCGUAGGCGGCCACUUAAGUCUGUCGUGAAAGCCCACAGCUUAACUGUGGAGGGUCGAUGGAAACUGAGAGGCUUGAAUCUAGGAGAGGUAAGUGGAAUUCCAUGUGUAGCGGUAAAAUGCUUAGAUAUAUGGAGGAACACCAGUGGCGAAGGCGGCUUACUGGUCUAGAAUUGACGCUGAUGCACGAAAGCGUGGGUAGCAAACAGGAUUAGAUACCCUGGUAGUCCACGCCGUAAACGAUGAGCACUAAGUGUCGGACGUAAGUUCGGUGCUGAAGUUAACGCAUUAAGUGCUCCGCCUGGGGAGUACGGUCGCAAGACUGAAACUCAAAGGAAUUGACGGGGACUCGCACAAGCGGUGGAGCAUGUGGUUUAAUUCGACGCAACGCGAAAAACCUUACCAGGCCUUGACAUACCGAUGACGUCUUUAGAGAUAGAGAGUUACCUUCGGGUACAUCGGAUACAGGUGGUGCAUGGUUGUCGUCAGCUCGUGUCGUGAGAUGUUGGGUUAAGUCCCGCAACGAGCGCAACCCUUAUCAUUAGUUGCUAACAGUCAGAUGAGCACUCUAAUGAGACUGCCAGCGAAAAGUUGGAGGAAGGUGGGGAUGACGUCAAAUCAUCAUGCCCCUUAUGGCCUGGGCUACACACGUGCUACAAUGGCUGGUACAAAGAGGAGCAAAGCUGUGAAGUGGAGCAAAUCUCAAAAAGCCAGUCUCAGUUCGGAUUGUAGUCUGCAACUCGACUACAUGAAGUUGGAAUCGCUAGUAAUCGUAAAUCAGCAUGUUACGGUGAAUACGUUCUCGAGUCUUGUACACACCGCCCGUCACACCAUGAGAGUUUGUAAUACCCGAAGCCGGUGGCUUAACCGCAAGGAGAGAGCCGUCUAAGGUAGGACAGAUGAUUGGGGUGAAGUCGUAACAAGGUAUCCCUACGAGAACGUGGGGAUG
This 1186-nucleotide ribosomal RNA is filed under the name human gut metagenome. Its description in RNAcentral is "bacterial SSU rRNA". It matches the Rfam family "Bacterial small subunit ribosomal RNA", at positions 337 to 1520 of the family's 1533-position model. The record is from RNAcentral.